UGUUAGCCACAUGCUUCAGCCCACGGUAGCCUGUGCUACCUGGGAGGUGAAUACAUGGUUGUUGAAACCAGUUCAAGACGCUUAGCUCAUCAUUGAGGGACGCUACAAUAUAAAUAUAAACAUGAAUUUGAUUUAUGAAUGCUUUAGAUUAAUAAGGAGUGUAUUUCUCUACUAUUACUCCACAAUAUCAGGUCAAUUUGGUUUAAUGUAUAGUAUGCACUAUGACAAUAAUGUUUCCAUGUUAUGGAGUUGCGAUUCAUUUUAUAAAACAAUUGCUAUGUUCUGUUUUUUAAUCAAGGAGGAUCCAAGUGAAGCUACAGGAGUUUCAUUAACGUCAACAACUUGGACCGAACAGUUUGUUUUGCUUGAUGAAGAGCAGGAAGGGCAGCCUGGAGAGAAAGAGAAGCCGGGUUGAGCCCACUACCAUCAUCCACUACCAUCAUCCACGUACCACGAGGAAGAUGAGGGAGAGAAAUGAUCCUACCAUUAAAGAGACUGUGAAAAGAACGUUGAGAACAUCACCACUCUACAGGAAGACACAGUCCAGUAAUGGGUGUCAGAAUUUCAGUAGUGAACGACAGAAACAAACAAUCCAAAUUACCUGCAGAAAGCCCUUGAUGGACGCUUCAGCUGCAUCGUCAGACUGG
Pleuronectes platessa (European plaice) is the source of this 647-nucleotide long non-coding RNA. RefSeq lists it as uncharacterized. The transcript is spliced from 3 exons. NCBI's taxonomy places the organism in Eukaryota, Metazoa, Chordata, Actinopteri, Pleuronectiformes, Pleuronectidae. The record is from RefSeq and is a predicted model, not a curated record.